GACGACGCUGGCGGCGUGCUUAAUACAUGCAAGUCGAGCGAGGCCUUGGAAUUGGAGUCCUUCGGGAUGAAGAGUCCUUGGCCUAGCGGCGGACGGGUGAGUAACGCGUGGGCAACCUACCCCAAAGUCCGGGAUAACAGUGGGAAACCGCUGCUAAUACCGGAUGACUUUACCUGAGGGCAUCCUUGGGUAAAGAAAGGUUACGCUUUGGGAUGGGCCCGCGUCCCAUUAGCUAGUUGGUGAGGUAACGGCUCACCAAGGCGACGAUGGGUAGCCGGCCUGAGAGGGUGAACGGCCACACUGGGACUGAGACACGGCCCAGACUCCUACGGGAGGCAGCAGUAGGGAAUAUUGCGCAAUGGGCGGAAGCCUGACGCAGCGACGCCGCGUGAGCGAAGAAGGCCUUCGGGUCGUAAAGCUCUGUCCUUGGGGAAGAAGGCGAAAGCUUGACGGUACCCAAGAAGAAAGCCCCGGCUAACUACGUG
RNAcentral lists this ribosomal RNA (485 nucleotides) under uncultured bacterium. RNAcentral's name for it is "bacterial SSU rRNA". It matches the Rfam family "Bacterial small subunit ribosomal RNA", at positions 33 to 507 of the family's 1533-position model. The record is from RNAcentral.